Cryptomeria japonica (Japanese cedar) is the source of this 379-nucleotide long non-coding RNA. RefSeq lists it as uncharacterized. The record is from RefSeq and is a predicted model, not a curated record. NCBI's taxonomy places the organism in Eukaryota, Viridiplantae, Streptophyta, Pinopsida, Cupressales, Cupressaceae. The transcript has 2 exons.
UUAGCAGUGAGAAUUUCUUAGCUUCUGCAACAUGUGUUAUUCUAAGUGUAAAUGCAAGCCAUUUGGAUUUCUACUGUCUCUCCCUUUUGCUUUGACUGCAUUGGUGAUUUCACUUGUGGGUGUCAUAAUAUGGAUGCUUGGGAUUCUUCUGAGUGUGCCAUGUCCCUGUUGUGUCUGUGUUAAAUUCAUUAUAGAAUUUGGGUUGGAGUUAAUCAAAACUCCUGCUUAUAUAGUAGAUUGGUUCAUCAUCAAAAUUCCUUGUUGAAGAGAAGGCCUUGGGAGGCCUGUUCUGUAAAAUCAGUCGAUUAAGAUUCAUGUUAUUUUACUGUUGUGCAUAGUACGAAUCCAGAUUGACUUCAAUAAAUCUCUUCAGCUCUAA